RNAcentral lists this ribosomal RNA (2897 nucleotides) under Clostridioides difficile. RNAcentral's name for it is "bacterial LSU rRNA". It matches the Rfam family "Bacterial large subunit ribosomal RNA". The record is from RNAcentral. Lineage: Bacteria; Bacillati; Bacillota; Clostridia; Peptostreptococcales; Peptostreptococcaceae.
UCAAGUUAUUAAGGGUGCAGGGAGGAUGCCUUGGCACUAGGAGCCGAUGAAGGACGUGAUAAGCUGCGAUAAGCUUCGGGGAGUUGCACGUAAACUUUGAUCCGAAGAUUUCCGAAUGAGGAAACUCACUUAGAGUAAUGUCUAAGUAUCAUUAAGUGAAUACAUAGCUUAAUGAGGGGAACUCAGGGAACUGAAACAUCUAAGUACCUGAAGGAAGAGAAAGAAAUUCGAUUCCGUAAGUAGCGGCGAGCGAACGCGGAUUAGCCCAAACCAAUAAAGUUUUCUUUAUUGGGGUUGAGGACAUACCACAUAUAAGAGGUCAUUAUAGACGAAGAAGUUUGGAAAAACUCAUCAUAGAAGGUAAUAAUCCUGUAGUCAAAAUAAUAAUUCUUUAGGUAUGAUCCAGAGUACCACGGGACACGUGAAACCCUGUGGGAAGCAGGAGGGACCACCCUCCAAGGCUAAAUACUACCUAGUGACCGAUAGCGUAUAGUACCGUGAGGGAAAGGUGAAAAGAACCCCGGGAGGGGAGUGAAAUAGAACCUGAAACCCUGCACUUACAAGCUGUGGAAGCACAUUUCUUGUGUGACCGCGUACUUUUUGUAGAACGGGCCAACGAGUUACGUUAAGUAGCAAGGUUAAGCACUUAAGGUGCGGAGCCGUAGCGAAAGCGAGUUUUAACUGAGCGUUCAGUUACUUGACGUAGACCCGAAACCGGGCGACCUACCCAUGAGCAGGAUGAAGCGAAAGUAAAAUUUCGUGGAGGUCCGAACCCACGAGCGUUGAAAAGCUCGGGGAUGACUUGUGGGUAGCGGUGAAAUUCCAAUCGAGCCCGGAGAUAGCUGGUUCUCCCCGAAAUAGCUUUAGGGCUAGCCUCAAGGUGAGAGAUACGGAGGUAGAGCACUGAAUGUCCUAGGGGGUAUUGCACCUACCGAAGACUAUCAAACUCCGAAUGCCGUCAUCUUAUACUUGGGAGUCAGACUGUGGGUGAUAAGAUUCAUAGUCGAAAGGGCAACAGCCCAGAUCGUCAGCUAAGGUCCCUAAAUGUAAGUUAAGUGGUAAAGGAUGUGGGAUUGCACAGACAACCAGGAUGUUGGCUUAGAAGCAGCCACUCAUUCAAAGAGUGCGUAAUAGCUCACUGGUCGAGUGAUCCUGCGCCGAAGAUUUCCGGGGCUAAAACUUACUACCGAAGCUACGGCAUCAGUAAUGAUGGGUAGGGGAGCUUCCCAUACGGGUUGAAGCGUGACCGUAAGGACAUGUGGACAGUAUGGGAGUGAGAAUGUUGGCAUGAGUAGCGAGAUGUGGGUGAGAAUCCCACAGGCCGUAAACCCAAGGUUUCCAGGGGAAGGUUCGUCCGCCCUGGGUUAGUCGGGACCUAAGCUGAGGCCGAAAGGCGUAGGUGAUGGACAACAGGUUGAUAUUCCUGUACUACCGAUAACCGUUUGAGAGAAGGGAUGACACAGUAGGAUAAGCUAAGCACACUGUUGGUUAUGUGUGCCCAAGCAUUGAGGCAGUCAAAGUAGGCAAAUCCGCUUUGAUAAUGCUGGGAUGUGAUGGGGAGCGAAAUUUAGUAGCGAAGUAGCUGAUUUCACACUGUCAAGAAAAGUCUCUAUCGAGGUUAAAGGUACCCGUACCGCAAACCGACACAGGUGGGUGAGGAGAGUAUCCUAAGGCCAGCGAGAGAACUGUUGUUAAGGAACUCGGCAAAAUGACCCCGUAACUUAGGGAUAAGGGGUGCCACCAUCAGGUGGCCGCAGAGAAUAGGCCCAAGCGACUGUUUACCAAAAACAUAGGUUUCUGCUAAGUCGCAAGACGAUGUAUAGGAGCUGACGCCUGCCCGGUGCUGGAAGGUUAAGGGGAUCUGUUAGAGCAAUCGAAGCAGUGAACUUAAGCCCCAGUAAACGGCGGCCGUAACUAUAACGGUCCUAAGGUAGCGAAAUUCCUUGUCGGGUAAGUUCCGACCCGCACGAAAGGCGUAACGAUUUGGGCACUGUCUCAACAACAGACUCGGUGAAAUUGUAAUUCCGGUGAAGAUGCCGGAUACCUGCGACAGGACGGAAAGACCCCAUGGAGCUUUACUGUAGCUUGACAUUGGGUCUUGGUACUACAUGUACAGGAUAGGUGGGAGGCUUUGAAACCAGGACGCCAGUUUUGGCGGAGCCAUCCUUGGGAUACCACCCUUGUAGUACUGGGACUCUAACCAUAGGCCAUGAAUCUGGUCUUGGGACACUGUCAGGUGGGCAGUUUGACUGGGGCGGUCGCCUCCCAAAAGGUAACGGAGGCGCUCAAAGGUUCUCUCAGUACGGUCGGAAAUCGUACGUAGAGUGUAAAGGCAAAAGAGAGCUUGAUUGCAAGACAUACAGGUCGAGCAAGGAUGAAAAUCGGACUUAGUGAUCCGGUGGUUCUGCGUGGAAGGGCCAUCGCUCAACGGAUAAAAGCUACCCUGGGGAUAACAGGCUUAUCUCCCCCAAGAGUCCACAUCGACGGGGAGGUUUGGCACCUCGAUGUCGGCUCAUCACAUCCUGGGGCUGUAGUAGGUCCCAAGGGUUGGGCUGUUCGCCCAUUAAAGUGGUACGCGAGCUGGGUUCAGAACGUCGUGAGACAGUUCGGUCCCUAUCCGUCGCAGGCGUAGGAAAUUUGAGAAGACCUGUCCUUAGUACGAGAGGACCGGGAUGGACGUACCUCUGGUGUACCAGUUGUCCUGCCAAGGGCAUGGCUGGGUAGCUAUGUACGGAAUGGAUAAGCGCUGAAAGCAUCUAAGCGCGAAGCCAACUUCAAGAUAAGAUUUCCCACCGCAAGGGUAAGACCCCAGAAAGACUAUCUGGUUGAUAGGUCGAAGGUGUAAGUGCAGCAAUGUAUUUAGCUUAUCGAUACUAAUAGGUCGAGGACUUGACCAA